CAAAAGACAGUCUUCCCCUCUGUCUAGAGCCCAGAUCAAGUCUGAGCAGGUGCACACCGCCUUGUAAAAUCCAGGGUGUGUCCUUUACCCAGGAAGUCACCCUCCUCCCUCCCUCCCCACUCCUCCGCACCGCCCCCCCUUCGCCUGGGACAGCUGUUAAUAGGACAAUUACCCAAGAAGCAGCAGCAAGAUCCCGUGCUGAUGUGUCAUCAGUCCUGGUAUAUCCAUUAAAUCAGACCGAGAGGACCACUGGAAAAAGAAACGCUGUUGCUGCCACCAGCAGGCACAUCCAUCCUCCAGUCGCCUGGCCACGAUGGCGCCUGCCAGGAAACCCUCAGAGAAGGACAUGUGGCAAGGCAGAUUGCUGUGACUCGGAGUUCCUUUGGAAUAGCAGGAAUUGCUUUUUCCCCUAAGGGGAAAUCCAACCUUUCUGCUACUCUGGUUGCCCAUUAGUUUUCCUUUCUUUAAAAAUGUUUGUCAGGAGUUCCCGUCGUGGCGCAGUGAUUAACGAAUCUGACUAGGAACCAUGAGGUUGCGGGUUCGGUCCCUGGCCUUGCUCAGUGGGUUAGGGAUCUGGCGUUGCCAUGACCUGUGGUGUAGGUCGAAGACAUGGCUCAGAUCCUGCGUUGCUGUGGCUGUGGCGUAGGCCAUCAGCUAUAGCUCCAAUUAGACCCCUAGCCUGAGAACUUCCAUAUGCUGUAGAAGCAGCCCUAGAAAAGGCAAAAAGACAAAAAAAAAAAAAAAGAAGAUACUUCUCAAUCCUGGCUGCACAUUAGAAUCACCUGGGGGGUUGUAAAAAAAAUAUCAGUGCCCAGGUCCCACGCCCAACCAGUUAAAUCAGGGUCUCCCAGAGCAGCCCUGGGCAUUGGGAUUUUGUAAAAGCUCUUUAGAUGAUUCUUAUGUGCAGCCAGAGUAGAGAAUCACUAGCUUGGAGCAAGAAGCCAAGUUGGGUAAAACAGAAGAGCCAUGGCAAAGCACGAGCACAGACUAGAAUCACCACUGGAUUUUAGGAUGCACCCUUUCUCAUCCUUUUUAUUUGUUUGUUUGCUUUUUUACGGCCACACUUGUGGCACAUGGGGGUUCCCAGGCUAGGGGUCGAAUAGGAGCUAGAGCUGCCGGCCUACCCCACAGCCACAGCAACGCCAGAUCCGAGCUGCAUCUGUAACCUACACCACCACUCAUGGCAACGCCGGAUCCUUAACCCACUGAGCGAGGCCAGGGAUUGAACCCGAAACCUCAUGGUUCCUAGUCGGAUUCGCUUCCUCUGCACCAUGACGGGAACUCCCCCUUUCUCAAUCCUAAUGUGUUCUCAUCCUGGGCCUAUCCAGUGAAAACAUCUCAGUGGUCAUUUAUGCCUUGGUAUAACAUUUUAUGAAGCUGAGUUCAGCCAUCCCAUAUGUCUCACCACAUCAUCCCAAGCAGUGUUGGGUAGUUGUCUUUGCAUAGCUCUCAGUGUGGCAUGUUGCAAUCAGCAAGGGGCUAUUGUGAGGUGGGGAAAGUAGGUGUUUUGGACUCAAUGCUGCAUUCAGAAAUCUAGCUCAGCCACUUACUAGCCAGGCCCUCCUGAGCUAAAAUGGAGAUAACAAUAUACAGGGUCACAAAGUUUAAAAAUUGGAUCCUGGGAGUUCCUAUCAUGGCUCAGAGUUCCCAUCGUGGCUCAAUGGUUAACGAAUCUGACUAGCAUCGAUGAAGACACAGGUUCAAUCCCUGGCCUCGCUCAGCAGGUUAAGGAUCCGGCAUUGCUGUGAGCUGUGGUGUAGGUAGGCAGCUGCAGCUGCUUCAGCCAUUUGACCCCUAGUCUGGAGACUUCCAUAUGCCACAGGUGCAGCCCUAACAUAAUAAUAAUAAUAAAAUAAAAAUCGGAUCCCGUGUAUAAAGCCA
Molecule: long non-coding RNA, 1881 nt
Filed under: Sus scrofa (pig)
Lineage: Eukaryota; Metazoa; Chordata; Mammalia; Artiodactyla; Suidae
Description: lncRNA (ENSSSCG00035032075.1)
Source: RNAcentral